This 497-nucleotide ribosomal RNA is filed under the name uncultured bacterium. Its description in RNAcentral is "partial 16S ribosomal RNA". It matches the Rfam family "Bacterial small subunit ribosomal RNA", at positions 28 to 507 of the family's 1533-position model. The record is from RNAcentral.
GAUGAACGCUGGCGGCGUGCCUAAUACAUGCAAGUCGAGCGAACGGACGAGAAGCUUGCUUCUCUGCUGUUAGCGGCGGACGGGUGAGUAACACGUGGAUAACCUACCUAUAAGACUGGGAUAACUUCGGGAAACCGGAGCUAAUACCGGAUGAUAUUUUGAACCGCAUGGUUCAAAAGUGAAAGACGGUCUUUCUGUCACUUAUAGAUGGAUCCGCGCUGCAUUAGCUAGUUGGUAAGGUAACGGCUUACCAAGGCAACGAUGCAUAGCCGACCUGAGAGGGGGAUCGGCCACACUGGAACUGAGACACGGUCCAGACUCCUACGGGAGGCAGCAGUAGGGAAUCUUCCGCAAUGGGCGAAAGCCUGACGGAGCAACGCCGCGUGAGUGAUGAAGGUCUUCGGAUCGUAAAGCUCUGUUAUUAGGGAAGAACAUAUGUGUAAGUAACUGUGCACAUCUUGACGGUACCUAAACAGAAAGCCCCGGCUAACUACGUG